RNAcentral lists this ribosomal RNA (623 nucleotides) under uncultured archaeon. RNAcentral's name for it is "bacterial SSU rRNA". It matches the Rfam family "Archaeal small subunit ribosomal RNA", at positions 146 to 774 of the family's 1478-position model. The record is from RNAcentral.
AUAAUACUCCAUAGAUUAGAGACACUGGAAUGUUCUUUAGCCGAAAGUUCUGGCGCCUUAGGAUGGAUCUGCGGUCGAUUAGGUUGUUGUUGGGGUAACGGCCCAACAAGCCUGUAAUCGAUACGGGUUGUGGGAGCAAGAGCCCGGAGAUGGAAUCUGAGACACGAUUCCAGGCCCUACGGGGCGCAGCAGGCGCGAAAACUUUACAAUGCAGGAAACUGUGAUAAGGGAACUCCGAGUGCCCGUAUACGCGGGCUGUCCAGGUGUUUAAAAAUCAUCUGAAGAAAGGGCCGGGCAAGACCGGUGCCAGCCGCCGCGGUAAUACCGGCGGCUCGAGUGGUGGCCACUAUUAUUGGGCUUAAAGCGUCCGUAGCUGGACCGAUAAGUCUCUUGGGAAAUCCGCCGGCUCAACCGGCGGGCGUCUAAGGGAUACUGUUAGUCUAGGGACCGGGAGAGGUGAGAGGUACUCCGGGGGUAGGAGUGAAAUCCUGUAAUCCCCGGGGGACCACCGAUGGCGAAGGCAUCUCACCAGAACGGCUCCGACAGUGAGGGACGAAAGCUGGGGGAGCGAACCGGAUUAGAUACCCGGGUAGUCCCAGCCGUAAACUAUGCGCGUUAGGUGU